RNAcentral lists this ribosomal RNA (253 nucleotides) under uncultured bacterium. RNAcentral describes it as "partial 16S ribosomal RNA". It matches the Rfam family "Bacterial small subunit ribosomal RNA", at positions 524 to 776 of the family's 1533-position model. The record is from RNAcentral.
UACGUAGGGUGCAAGCGUUGUCCGGAAUUAUUGGGCGUAAAGAGCUCGUAGGCGGUCUGUCGCGUCUGCUGUGAAAACUCAGGGCUUAACCCUGAGCUUGCAGUGGGUACGAGCAGACUAGAGUGCGGUAGGGGAGACUGGAAUUCCUGGUGUAGCGGUGAAAUGCGCAGAUAUCAGGAGGAACACCGGUGGCGAAGGCGGGUCUCUGGGCCGUAACUGACGCUGAGGAGCGAAAGCAUGGGGAGCGAACAGG